Olea europaea var. sylvestris is the source of this 509-nucleotide long non-coding RNA. RefSeq lists it as uncharacterized. NCBI's taxonomy places the organism in Eukaryota, Viridiplantae, Streptophyta, Magnoliopsida, Lamiales, Oleaceae. The transcript is spliced from 4 exons. The record is from RefSeq and is a predicted model, not a curated record.
UUCUCUCCUCGUUCCUCCCAUUCCCACGCUUAACCAGUUGGGAACUUUGCUAAUCUUCUCACCAACUGCAGAAGGAAAGGCUUUUUAACGACAUUAUACAAUUACAUCAUAGUUGGUUCCAAUUAUAACUUGCCUCAAGCCAACGCCUCCAUUCGUAUUUCAUUUUGGCUGGAAAUGUGUUUAACAAUGGCCUACAACAAUUUAUGUAGGUCGAAGAAGGUGGAAAGCAAAGUAUAAUACCCAACAUGAAAAAAUGUCCCGACCAUUCGAGAAGCACGGGAAUGCCUACCUGCAAAGCAAAACCAAAGUACAACUCCUCUUUAACUGUAAUAAUAAUGGGUGUUGAACAUCUUGCUGUGACUACCGGAUGAUGUUAGAUAAUGACGAAAUGUUCAAUAGCGAUAAAAUUGAAUAGUAUUAAGAAUGAAAAAGAGUUAAACUCUUGUUUACUAUAUUGUGUAAUUUUGUCGAAUUCAAAAGAAUGAGAAAUUAGUGAUGGGUCUGUUGUU